ACUGUGAGUUAACUUUCAAGAUACAAGAUCGUGUAGGUUAGUUUAAAAACUUGGUCGUUUUUAACCCUUCAUUUAAAACUUAAUGCUCACUGUAAUUGUUAAUCAUAUAUUGGUUUGAAUAAUUUACGUAAUGUUUGUGUUAUUGUUGAACUUUAACUGUAAAUUAUGUAUUUAAUUUGUUAGAUUUAAAGCAUGUUAUUGUUAUAAGGAUACUAUAAUUAGAGGGUGAUGAAUAGUGAUAACAACUUGCACUUACAAUGUAAAAUUUCUUUGUUAACCGAAGGACAUUACAACAACUUAACUUUAAA
RNAcentral lists this long non-coding RNA (308 nucleotides) under Populus tremula. RNAcentral describes it as "long non-coding RNA (PTRE_LNC000274)". The record is from RNAcentral. Lineage: Eukaryota; Viridiplantae; Streptophyta; Magnoliopsida; Malpighiales; Salicaceae.